UACGGGGGGGGCAAGCGUUGUUCGGAAUUACUGGGCGUAAAGGGUGCGUAGGCGGUUCGUUAAGUUAGAUGUGAAAACUCUGGGCUCAACCCAGAGCCUGCAUCUAAGACUGGCGGGCUAGAGUUCUGGAGGGGGUAGCGGAAUUCCUGGUGUAGCGGUGAAAUGCGUAGAUAUCAGGAGGAACACCGGUGGCGAAGGCGGCUACCUGGACAGAAACUGACGCUGAGGCACGAAAGCUAGGGGAGCAAACAGG
Molecule: ribosomal RNA, 253 nt
Filed under: uncultured bacterium
Lineage: Bacteria
Description: partial 16S ribosomal RNA
Rfam family: Bacterial small subunit ribosomal RNA
Source: RNAcentral